AUACGGAGGGGGCUAGCGUUGUUCGGAAUUACUGGGCGUAAAGCGCGCGUAGGCGGCCUGUCAAGUUGGAUGUGAAAGCCCGAGGCUUAACCUCGGAACUGCCCUCAAUACUGCCAGUCUUGAGUUCGAGAGAGGUGAGUGGAAUUCCUAGUGUAGAGGUGAAAUUCGUAGAUAUUAGGAAGAACACCAGUGGCGAAGGCGGCUCACUGGCUCGAUACUGACGCUGAGGUGCGAAAGCGUGGGGAGCAAACAGGAUUAGAUACCCCAGUAGUCC
RNAcentral lists this ribosomal RNA (274 nucleotides) under uncultured bacterium. RNAcentral's name for it is "partial 16S ribosomal RNA". It matches the Rfam family "Bacterial small subunit ribosomal RNA", at positions 523 to 796 of the family's 1533-position model. The record is from RNAcentral.